RNAcentral lists this ribosomal RNA (245 nucleotides) under uncultured bacterium. RNAcentral describes it as "partial 16S ribosomal RNA". It matches the Rfam family "Bacterial small subunit ribosomal RNA", at positions 113 to 353 of the family's 1533-position model. The record is from RNAcentral.
ACACGUGGGUAACCUGCCUUAUAGUGGGGGAUAGCCUUUCGAAAGGAAGAUUAAUACCGCAUAAGAUUGUAGUAUCGCAUGAUAUAGCAAUUAAAAGGAGCAAUUCGCUAUAAGAUGGACCCGCGUCGCAUUAGCUAGUUGGUGAGGUAAUGGCUCACCAAGGCGACGAUGCGUAGCCGACCUGAGAGGGUGAUCGGCCACAUUGGGACUGAGACACGGCCCAGACUCCUACGGGAGGCAGCAUG